Molecule: ribosomal RNA, 440 nt
Filed under: uncultured bacterium
Lineage: Bacteria
Description: partial 16S ribosomal RNA
Rfam family: Bacterial small subunit ribosomal RNA
Source: RNAcentral
CCUACGGGAGGCAGCAGUAGGGAAUAUUGCUCAAUGGGGGAAACCCUGAAGCAGCAACGCCGCGUGGAGGAUGAAGGUUUUAGGAUUGUAAACUCCUUUUGUUAGAGAAGAUUAUGACGGUAUCUAACGAAUAAGCACCGGCUAACUCCGUGCCAGCAGCCGCGGUAAUACGGAGGGUGCAAGCGUUACUCGGAAUCACUGGGCGUAAAGAGUGCGUAGGCGGGGUAAUAAGUCAGAUGUGAAAUCCUGUAGCUUAACUACAGAACUGCAUUUGAAACUGGUACUCUGGAGUGUGGGAGAGGUAGGUAGAAUUCUUGGUGUAGGGGUAAAAUGCGUAGAGAUCAAGAGGAAUACUCAUUGCGAAGGCGACCUGCUGGAACAUGACUGACGCUGAUGCGCGAAAGCGUGGGGAGCAAACAGGAUUAGAUACCCCAGUAGUC